This is a long non-coding RNA of Oncorhynchus tshawytscha (Chinook salmon), 635 nucleotides long. The record is from Ensembl. NCBI's taxonomy places the organism in Eukaryota, Metazoa, Chordata, Actinopteri, Salmoniformes, Salmonidae.
GCUCUAAUCUGAUAGUGGUAGAUGUCUAGCCUCCCUUAUGGGUCUAAUGUGAUAGUGGUAGAUGUCUAGCCUCCCUUAUGGCUCUAAUCUGAUAGUGGUAGAUGCCUAUUCUCCCUUAUGGCUCUAAUCUGAUAGUGGUAGUGGGUUGGAAGAUGUCUAGGCUCCCUUAUGUCUCUCAUCAGAUAGUGGUAUAUUUCUAGUCUCGCUUAUGGCUCUAAUCUGAUAGUGGAAUAUGUCUAGACCACCUUUUUGUUCUAAUCUGAUAGUGGUAGUGGGGUGGUAGAUAUCUAGUCUCCUUUAUGGCUCUAAUAUGAUAGUGGUAGUGGGGUUUUAGAUGUUUGGUAUCCCUAAUGGCUCUAAUCUGAUUGUGGUUGUGGGGUGGUAGAUGUCUAGUCUCCCUUAUGGCUAUAAUCUGAUAGUGGUAGAUGUCUAGUCUCCUUUAUGGCUCUAAUCUGAUAGUAUUAGUGGGGUUGGAAGAUGUCUAGUCUCCUUAUGGCUCUAAUCUGAUAGUAUUAGUGGGGUUGGAAGAUGUCUAGUCUCCCUUAUGGCUCUAAUCUGAUAGUGGUAGAUGUCUAGUCUCCCUUAUGGCUCUAAUCUGAUAGUGGUAGGUGUCUAGUCUCCCUUAUGUCUCUAAU